This 3164-nucleotide unclassified non-coding RNA is filed under the name Hevea brasiliensis (rubber tree). Lineage: Eukaryota; Viridiplantae; Streptophyta; Magnoliopsida; Malpighiales; Euphorbiaceae. The record is from RNAcentral.
AUUCAAAUCAGAUCUCUAUUCACUGUUCACACUCACUCCCUAUUCGGCUCUCUGGGUCUCGGACGGACAGACAGACAGACCGACACAUCUCUUUUCCACUCUGCCACCAGUCCAUCGCCGAUUUCUACAGUCAGAGAGAGAGAGAGAAAUGGGUCCACCAAACAAGAAUGCCCUUACAAUCUCCCAGGAUGCGUUCGACGAGCUGGUGAAAGAGAACAUGGAAGACCUCGGCAUGGACCCGGUUGAAGCCCUCCAAGACGCCAUCCAGACCCUUACUCUCCAAGGCGUCGAUCUCUCCGGUAUAGUGACGUGCGUUCCUGGAGAGAGUAGUGCAAAAGACAACCCAGUGAUUCAUUGUUUGGAAAGAUUGAACGAGCUGGAAUCUAUUCCAAAGGAUCGAAUUAGUGGGGAUGAGAUGGAUGAGAUGGCUGGCUUGUUUGAUAAGCUAACAGAACUGUGUAGUGUUGAAGGGUCUGGAAAUGCAGCAAUAGCUGUAAAAAAUGGUGGGGUGGAAUUGGUUUGCUCUAUUUGUUCUAAGAUACCGAUUGGAUCCAAGAUUGGAUCCAAGCAGGUUCUUGUUUCGGCUUUGAAGACAUUGGCAUUGUUUCUUUACGGUAUAAACAUACGCAUAUGGAUUGUUUUGUUUGUUCUUGUAGUUAAUGCGUAGAAUUAGAAUGUGAAAUAUGAAUGACAAGACUUGUGAAAGACAGCUAAAUUGCUUUUGUACGUAGGGCUAUUAGUUCACUUAGGAAACGAAUGGUGCAAAGAUUUAAUUGGAGGAAUAUGCUAGACAUAUGCUGAUGAUAGGUUUUCAAGUUAUUCAUAUAGGUAUUGUUUGCCCACACAAAUAGGUAUCCCAUCUAUGCCCUCACUGCUAGGAUCUGCUAGCUUAGAAUUGAAUCCAUUGAGCUUAUAUAAAACGUGAAAUUUGCAUUCAAUGGUUCUCUACGCGCUUCUAGAAAUUGUAAAAGUGCUUUUGUAUAGAAUUGUUUUUAAAGGGUUUAAUUGUUCAGUUUGGAUUUCAAAUUCUUGAUUUUGAGAAUCAAUAUAACGUAAAUGUUACUAGUCCCCUUUACGCAUAAGGUUAUUGAUGUAUCAGGUGUUUCUAUAGCAGGUAGACAUUCUUUAUAAAUCCUAAUGUAUACAAACUGUUCUCUCCCCCCUUUGCUCUUAUUGUUGCAUCUUUAAAACAUGUGUAUAAUAAUUUUCCAAAGUUGUUGGAAACUUCUUCUCAGGAACCACGAUUGUGAUGAUGGGAAACAAAUUAUAGUGAUCAUACUCCCAGAAAAGUCUUUUAGGUGUUCAUAUACAUUUAGGUUCUAAUUAAAAAUGGAUUUCUCUAUUUAGCUUGAAGUAUUCUUCCUUGACUUAUUCCAUCUUUCUAAGAAGUUGUGUUAUGCUUCUCUUACUAAUCCUAUAACUGCAAAUCUGGAAAAUAUUACAUUCAUUCUUGUUGUUGAUUGUGCGAUGUGUUGCUGUAAUCUGCAGAUGUCCAAAGUACAGAAACAUUUAGGUCCAGUGAUGGACCAACAAUCUUGGCCGGUAUCUUAAAAGGUGAAAGUGAAAGUUUAGACAUAUUGGAUUGUGGUUUUAAUGUUGUUGCUGCAGCUGCAACUGGCAAUGAGAUUCUAAAAGAGUCAUUCAUGGAAUUGAAAAUUGAUGAACUUAUUUUGCAAGUACUGAAUAGACAGAACACAGGGAAUGUUCAAAGUUUAUAUGAUGCCAUUCGUGUUCUGUUAACACCGGAUGAUAACCGUGUUGUGGCUUCCCAAGUAAGUAAAUAUUAGAUAAAGAUGUAUAAACUUCUAUAAAACAAGAUGGCUGAACUAAACAAUUCAAGAGGAUAAUAGAUGUGGAGCUGUUGAAAAUUCACUUAAUCAAUCAUGCUGUUGCCUUAAAAGUUAGAAAACUUACAGUUUCAUGGAACAAUUGUUUUGAGAAUGGGCCUAGAUCACUCCUUCAUGACCCAGCUAACUUGCUAAGCAUGUGUUGUCAAUGAUGUAUAAUUUUUGCCUACUGUGCCUAGUGAAAAGGUUUUCCUCAAAACUGACAUGUAUGCAAAUUUACAGGUUUAUGGUUAUGCACGAAGGUUUGCGAAGAUUGGGAUUGCAGGAGCUCUUGUGGACUCAUUAUGUGGAGGGCUUGCUUCACCUAGUCUAGUUUCAGCAAGCAUUGCUUUAAAGGCUGUUGCUGUCAAUGAUGAAAUAUGUAAAUCCAUUGCUGAAAGAGGAGGUGUUGACACAAUUCUCAAAUGUAUUGAUGACAGCAGUGAACAAGGCAACAAAACAGUAGCUAGAACUUGUUGUUCGUUGUUAUCCAAGUUGGCAGCAAGUGACUCAAAUAAGAGUGCUAUCAUAGAAAAAGGGGGCAUGGAAAGGCUAAUCCAACUUUCAGGAAGAUUUUCUGAUGACCCUUCUGUCCUGCAAGAGGUUAUGUCUAUCAUUACAGUACUCUCCUUAAGGUCCCCAAAUAAUGCAGCCCGUGCCAUAGAAGCUGGAGCUGGAGACCUUGCUAUCCAAGCAAUGCUGAAGUUUCCAUCUGCACAACAAUUGCAGAGGAAUUCCUGCCUCAUGAUCCGCAAUCUUGUUGUUAGGAACCCCGAGAAUAGAACACUCCUGCUCAGCCAAGGCAUUGAGAAAAUUAUAAGGAGAGCCAAGGAAAAUCAUGAAACCUGCAAGGAUGCUGCAACUGAUGCUCUGAGGGAUUUGGGCCUUGAUAACUACUGCUCGUAGCUUAUACCCAAGGAUUGAUAGCUUGUAUCUUUUCCAAUGAAAAUUUAUUUCCACCCCAUUUUGGUCUUGUAUGUAUUAUAGCCAUGACUUGCAUCUAGAUGGACAUGGACAAGCUCAUUGCUGAAAUAUGCGCAGCUUUCUCACAAAAAAUGGCGCACGAUUUCUGAGGGCAAAGGUUUUUUCUUUUUUCUUUUUUAGAGAGAUUGAAAAAACGAGACCUCCAAGCUGGAUCUAAGCACAAUUGAACUAAGCCAUGCUAGGCUUUCUAAGGUCAAAGUUGGAAAUAUAUUUCAUAUGCAUUAUUGUUUUGUUUUCCUUUUUUUUAAAAAAAAGAUUCUUUUCUGGUAUGGUUGAUUUGACCAACAUUAGUGAGUCUGUCAAAGAGUACAUGUGAACUCCAGGCGAGAUCCACAGCAUAUUAAGGUAUUUUUG